Molecule: long non-coding RNA, 335 nt
Filed under: Vigna radiata
Lineage: Eukaryota; Viridiplantae; Streptophyta; Magnoliopsida; Fabales; Fabaceae
Description: long non-coding RNA (VRAD_LNC015121)
Source: RNAcentral
UCUUGGGUGAGUUCGUUUAGCCAUCUCCUUUACUUUUCUAACUGGUGAAGAUGAUAGUAAUCUGUCAGAGGAAGGAAACAAAUCCCUAGAUGGGCGUCUAACUCUCCUUCUUCCCCUUGUCUCGCUUAAGCCUUCAAGAAGAGGUUGCGUAUUUUUCUUGCUCCUAGUAUGUCUAAGCUCCUGCUGCAUACACAAGAAACACAAACCCUGGUAGCACUUUUAUAUAUAAAAAAAAUAAAAAAUAAAAAAAUAAAAAGAUAAAAUAUAUACAAUCAAGUCAAACUUAAUCAGUUUACACUACUAGAUAAGUUAAACCACGAGUCCCUGGCAACGGC